Molecule: ribosomal RNA, 604 nt
Filed under: bacterium
Lineage: Bacteria
Description: bacterial SSU rRNA
Rfam family: Bacterial small subunit ribosomal RNA
Source: RNAcentral
AAGGGAGCUUGCUCCUGGAUUAGUGGCGAACGGGUGAGUAACACGUGAGUAACCUGCCCUUAACUCUGGGAUAAGCCUGGGAAACUGGGUCUAAUACCGGAUAUGACUCCUCAUCGCAUGGUGGGGGGUGGAAAGCUUUUUUGUGGUUUUGGAUGGACUCGCGGCCUAUCAGCUUGUUGGUGAGGUAAUGGCUUACCAAGGCGACGACGGGUAGCCGGCCUGAGAGGGUGACCGGCCACACUGGGACUGAGACACGGCCCAGACUCCUACGGGAGGCAGCAGUGGGGAAUAUUGCACAAUGGGCGCAAGCCUGAUGCAGCGACGCCGCGUGAGGGAUGACGGCCUUCGGGUUGUAAACCUCUUUCAGUAGGGAAGAAGCGAAAGUGACGGUACCUGCAGAAGAAGCGCCGGCUAACUACGUGCCAGCAGCCGCGGUAAUACGUAGGGCGCAAGCGUUAUCCGGAAUUAUUGGGCGUAAAGAGCUCGUAGGCGGUUUGUCGCGUCUGCCGUGAAAGUCCGGGGCUCAACUCCGGAUCUGCGGUGGGUACGGGCAGACUAGAGUGAUGUAGGGGAGACUGGAAUUCCUGGUGUAGCGGUGAAAUGC